CUACGGGGUGGUGCAGUGAGGAAUAUUGCACAAUGGGGGGAACCCUGAUGCAGCAACGCCGCGUGGAGGAUGACGCAUUUCGGUGAAUAAACUCCUUUUAUAUGUCAAGAAAAUGACGGUAGCAUAUGAAUAAGCACCGGCUAACUCCGUGCCAGCAGCCGCGGUAAUACGGAGGGUGCAAGCGUUACUCGGAAUCACUGGGCGUAAAGGACGCGUAGGCGGGUUGGAAAGUCAGGUGUGAAAUCCUACAGCUUAACUGUAGAACUGCACUUGAAACUUCUAAUCUAGAGUAUGGGAGGGGGAGAUGGAAUUAGUGGUGUAGGGGUAAAAUCCGUAGAUAUCACUAGGAAUACCUAAAGCGAAGGCGAUCUCCUGGAACAUUACUGACGCUAAGGCGUGAAAGCGUGGGGAGCAAACAGGAUUAGAUACCCGCGUAGUC
RNAcentral lists this ribosomal RNA (439 nucleotides) under uncultured bacterium. Its description in RNAcentral is "partial 16S ribosomal RNA". It matches the Rfam family "Bacterial small subunit ribosomal RNA", at positions 339 to 795 of the family's 1533-position model. The record is from RNAcentral.